GAUGAAGAACGUAGCGAAAUGCGAUAAGUAGUGUGAAUUGCAGAAUUCAGUGAAUCAUCGAAUCUUUGAACGCACAUUGCGCCUCCUGGUAUUCCGGGAGGCGUGCCUGUUCGAGCGUCAUUAAAAUCACUCAAGCUUAGGUUUACCUAUUGCUUGGUCUUGGAGAUGGAAGCCAAUUUAUUGGAAUCCUCUUCGAAAUUCAAUGGCGAAGACCCUUGCUCUCCCAAGUGUAGUAAUAACUUAUGUCACUGAAGGAAGCGAGAAAUCUUCUGCCGUAACCCCCAUAUUUUCUAUGAUUGACCUCGGAUCAGGUAGGGAUACCCGCUGAACUUAAGCAUAUCAAUAAGCGGAGGA
RNAcentral lists this unclassified non-coding RNA (354 nucleotides) under soil metagenome. RNAcentral describes it as "partial contains 5.8S ribosomal RNA, internal transcribed spacer 2, and large subunit ribosomal RNA". The stretch from base 1 to 120 matches the Rfam family "5.8S ribosomal RNA", at positions 35 to 154 of the family's 154-position model. The record is from RNAcentral.